GUUCGGAUUGCAGGCUGCAACCCGCCUGCAUGAAGCCGGAAUCGCUAGUAAUCGCGGAUCAGAAUGCCGCGGUGAAUACGUUCCCGGGUCUUGUACACACCGCCCGUCACACCAUGGGAGCCGGGAAUGCCCGAAGUCAGUGGCCCAACCGAAAGGGGGAGCUGCCGAAGGCAGGCCUGGUGACUGGGGUGAAGUCGUAACAAGGUAAC
RNAcentral lists this ribosomal RNA (209 nucleotides) under uncultured bacterium. RNAcentral's name for it is "partial 16S ribosomal RNA". It matches the Rfam family "Bacterial small subunit ribosomal RNA", at positions 1291 to 1500 of the family's 1533-position model. The record is from RNAcentral.